GUUUGGCGGUAAACUAGAUUCGUCCGGGGGAAUGUGCAAGUUAAAGAGAUGGUCCGCUAAUUAUUUCACUAUAAUAAGAUGAGUUAGUGUAUAUCCGUUUAAAAAUUUACGUUUAAAGACAUGAAGUGAGUGUUAAUUAUAUAAUUUAAGACAGGUCCAUAUGCUGCUAAUGUUAUAGGUAGUUGUGCGUUACAUUGAUAAGUUAAGUGGGAUGAAAUUCACUUAUGAAUUUAGGACUCGGAAGUAGGAGUAAAAAAGUAUGUUGCUUCGAAGGUUGAAAUAGUUUAUGUACACAUCGCCCGACAAUCUCGGUGAUAAAUUGAGUUAA
RNAcentral lists this ribosomal RNA (328 nucleotides) under Schistosoma indicum. Its description in RNAcentral is "partial 12S ribosomal RNA". Lineage: Eukaryota; Metazoa; Platyhelminthes; Trematoda; Strigeidida; Schistosomatidae. The record is from RNAcentral.